Molecule: ribosomal RNA, 497 nt
Filed under: uncultured bacterium
Lineage: Bacteria
Description: partial 16S ribosomal RNA
Rfam family: Bacterial small subunit ribosomal RNA
Source: RNAcentral
GACGAACGCUGGCGGCGUGCCUAAUACAUGCAAGUAGAACGCUGAAGAGAGGAGCUUGCUCUUCUUGGAUGAGUUGCGAACGGGUGAGUAACGCGUAGGUAACCUGCCUUGUAGCGGGGGAUAACUAUUGGAAACGAUAGCUAAUACCGCAUAACAAUGGAUGCCACAUGUCAUUUAUUUGAAAGGGGCAAUUGCUCCACUACAAGAUGGACCUGCGUUGUAUUAGCUAGUAGGUGAGGUAAUGGCUCACCUAGGCGACGAUACAUAGCCGACCUGAGAGGGUGAGCGGCCACAAUGGGACUGAGAAACGGCUCAGACUCCUACGGGAGGGAGCAGGAGGGAAUCUUCGGCAAAGGGGGGAAAGCUGAACGAGCAACGCCGCGUGAGUGAAGAAGGUUUUCGGAUCGUAAAGGUCUGUUGUAAGUGAAGAAAGGGUGUGAGAGUGGAAAGUUCACACUGUGACGGUAGCUUACCAGAAAGGGACGGCUAACUACGUG